UGGGAUGACGUCAAGUCCUCAUGGCCCUUAUGUCCAGGGCUACACACGUGCUACAAUGGCCGGUACAAAGAGUAGCGAUGCCGCGAGGUGGAGCCAAUCUCAAAAAGCCGAUCUCAGUUCGGAUUGGAGUCUGCAACUCGACUCCAUGAAGUCGGAAUCGCUAGUAAUCGCGUAUCAGCGUGACGCGGUGAAUACGUUCCCGGGCCUU
RNAcentral lists this ribosomal RNA (208 nucleotides) under uncultured Geobacter sp. Its description in RNAcentral is "partial 16S ribosomal RNA". It matches the Rfam family "Bacterial small subunit ribosomal RNA", at positions 1175 to 1382 of the family's 1533-position model. Lineage: Bacteria; Pseudomonadati; Thermodesulfobacteriota; Desulfuromonadia; Geobacterales; Geobacteraceae. The record is from RNAcentral.